UACGUAGGUGGCGAGCGUUGUCCGGAAUUACUGGGCGUAAAGGGCGUGUAGGCGGCCUUUUAAGUCAGAUGUGAAAUCUCAGGGCUUAACCCUGAAACUGCAUUUGAAACUGGAGGGCUUGAGGAUCGGAGAGGGCAGUGGAAUUCCCAGUGUAGCGGUGAAAUGCGUAGAUAUUGGGAGGAACACCAGUGGCGAAGGCGACUGCCUGGACGACACCUGACGCUGAGGCGCGAAAGCUAGGGGAGCGAACGGGAUUAGAUACCCCGGUAGUCCUAGCCGUAAACGAUGGGUACUAGGUGUGGGAGGUAUCGACCCCUUCCGUGCCGCAGUUAACACAAUAAGUACCCCGCCUGGGGAGUACGGCCGCAAGGUUGAA
This 376-nucleotide ribosomal RNA is filed under the name uncultured bacterium. RNAcentral describes it as "bacterial SSU rRNA". It matches the Rfam family "Bacterial small subunit ribosomal RNA", at positions 524 to 898 of the family's 1533-position model. The record is from RNAcentral.